Non-coding RNA from Pelobates cultripes (western spadefoot toad), 178 nucleotides. The record is from the annotation of a GenBank genome assembly. Lineage: Eukaryota; Metazoa; Chordata; Amphibia; Anura; Pelobatidae.
GCUAGAGCACUUUUUCAAUGUGCUCCCAAUGACAAGGCGUCGACGCAUUCGUAUGUCAAUCCAUAUCAACUUUCGAUGCCAUUUACUGCGCCUACCAUGGUGACCACGGGUAACGGGGAAUCAGGGUUCGACUCCGUACCGGGACCUUGGCAAACGGCUACCACAUGCAAGGAAGGCA